GCAAUUAAAGCAGCCGGCCCUAAUCUUAAUUCUUACAUUUCACAUAUCUUUACCUUCAUCUCUUUCCCUUCAUCUCUUAGCAAUUCAGGGUUGAUUUCACAGUUUAUCAACGUCACUCAACCAGCAGCAGUCACCACCAAAGUAAGCUCCACUUCUUUUUCGCUUUAUUAUUAUUUUUGCAUCCAAGUGCUAGCUUUUUCAUUUCGAAAGAUAUGUUGUAAACUAUGUAUGCUUUUAGCUUUUUCCAUCAAGACGAAUUCAAAGAGUCCAUUAGUGCCAGGCUGUUAGUUUUUUUUUAUUUUUUGCUCGUAUUCUUCAAUUAUGUCAUUGUUAAAAAUUUUUAAAAAUAAAUUUAUAUAUAUAUAUAUAUAUAAUAUUAGUGCAAGCUUUUUUAUUUCUUGCUCAUACUCUUCAAUUAUAUCACUGUUAAAAAAUUAAAAAUUAAUUAAUUAAUUUUAAUAUAUAUAUAUGAGAUCUUUUAUUCUUCAAUUAAUUUGAAUUAUUUCGUUUAUAUAUGUUAAUAACAUUUUAUUUACUUUUUGGUGUAGGAUUUUUGUUUUCAAGGUGAAAAAGACAAAUGAAGAGAAUUAAAGAAAUUACCUUACUGUAUAAUUUGAAUUUGAAUUAUUGUUAUUUGUAUUAUUAGGGAUUUAUAAUUUGGUAUUUGGAUGACUGCAUAAUAUGGUUUGAGUUAUUUGUAUUUUGUUCCGGAAUGCUAAAUUUGUGAUUUUUUUAUAUUUUAUUUUACUUAAUUUUGUUUAUUAAUUA
Molecule: long non-coding RNA, 768 nt
Filed under: Citrus maxima (pomelo)
Lineage: Eukaryota; Viridiplantae; Streptophyta; Magnoliopsida; Sapindales; Rutaceae
Description: long non-coding RNA (CMAX_LNC003735)
Source: RNAcentral